RNAcentral lists this transfer RNA (84 nucleotides) under Muribaculaceae bacterium. Its description in RNAcentral is "tRNA-Leu". It matches the Rfam family "tRNA". From Rfam's summary of the family: Transfer RNA (tRNA) molecules are approximately 80 nucleotides in length. The record is from RNAcentral. Lineage: Bacteria; Pseudomonadati; Bacteroidota; Bacteroidia; Bacteroidales; Muribaculaceae.
GCCCGAAUGGUGGAAUGGUAGACACGAGGGACUUAAAAUCCCUUGGCCAUUACGGCUGUAUGGGUUCGAGUCCCAUUUCGGGCA